CUCAAAGAAUUGACGGGGCCUGCACAAGCGGUGGAGCAUGUGGUUUAUUCGAAGCAACGCGCAGAACCUUACCAGCGUUUGACAUCCUGAUCGCGGAUAGUGGAGACACUUUCCUUCAGUUCGGCUGGAUCAGUGACAGGUGCUGCAUGGCUGUCGUCAGCUCGUGUCGUGAGAUGUUGGGUUAAGUCCCGCAACGAGCGCAACCCUCGUCCUUAGUUGCCAUCAUUUAGUUGGGCACUCUAAGGAAACCGCCGGUGAUAAGCCGGAGGAAGGUGGGGAUGACGUCAAGUCCUCAUGGCCCUUACGCGCUGGGCUACACACGUGCUACUAUGGCAACUACAGUGGGCAGCAAACCUGCGAGGGUGAGCUAAUCUCCAAAAGUUGUCUCAGUUCGGAUUGUUCUCUGCAACUCGAGAGCAUGAAGGCGGAAUCGCUAGUAAUCGCGGAUCAGCAUGCCGCGGUGAAUACGUUCCCAGGCCUUGUACACACCGCCCGUCACACCAUGGGAGUUGGAUUCACCCGAAGGCGCUGCGCUAACCCGCAAGGGAGGCAGGCGACCACGGUGGGUUUAGCGACUGGGGUGAAGUCGUAACAAGGUAGCCGUAA
RNAcentral lists this ribosomal RNA (606 nucleotides) under uncultured Sphingomonas sp. RNAcentral describes it as "bacterial SSU rRNA". It matches the Rfam family "Bacterial small subunit ribosomal RNA", at positions 900 to 1505 of the family's 1533-position model. The record is from RNAcentral. Lineage: Bacteria; Pseudomonadati; Pseudomonadota; Alphaproteobacteria; Sphingomonadales; Sphingomonadaceae.